This 144-nucleotide unclassified non-coding RNA is filed under the name uncultured Mortierella. RNAcentral describes it as "sequence contains ITS1". Lineage: Eukaryota; Fungi; Mortierellomycota; Mortierellomycetes; Mortierellales; Mortierellaceae. The record is from RNAcentral.
UAAUAAGUGUUUUAUGGCACUUUUUAAAUUUAUAUCCACCUUGUGUGCAAUGUCAGUCGAUCUUCUUCAUGGAGAUCGGCCAAACAUCAACCUUAUCUUUUAACUCUUUGUCUGAAAAAUAUUAUGAAUAAACAAUUCAAAAUC